GUACAUCAGAUGGCUCUGUCCCUCUUUCGAUUCAUUGCUGCUCUUGGAUGAACAGAAGUUGUAUCAAAGUUGCUGGGUACGUUCACCUUGCUAAUGGUUUUUCUGCUUGGAGGAUUUAUUAUUUCCAAAAAUGACCUUGAGCCAUGGAUGAUGUGGGGCUACUAUAUGUCUCCUAUGAUGUAUGGACAGAAUGCACUAGUUAUGAAUGAGUUUCUUGAUAAAAGAUGGGACACACCCAACAAUGACACCAGCAUUGAUGUGCCUACAGUUGGGU
Pistacia vera is the source of this 274-nucleotide long non-coding RNA. RefSeq lists it as uncharacterized. The record is from RefSeq and is a predicted model, not a curated record. The transcript is spliced from 3 exons. NCBI's taxonomy places the organism in Eukaryota, Viridiplantae, Streptophyta, Magnoliopsida, Sapindales, Anacardiaceae.